GCAUGAAGCUGUUCACGGAUCGGACUGACACUACACGCUGCUCCUCACACACCGCUUCCUCCAACACGCCCUCUCCAGUCUUAAAGCUCUGUAGUAAAGGGGAGUGGGCUGAGAGACAGCAAGAGAGGAGACCCUGCAAACAGCUACAGAGAACACAGAUGUGAAAUGCUCUGCACCUCCAGCUGUCACAGAGGAACAGAGCCAAGAGAUUACUAACCCUUUCCACACCCAAACUGACAGUCACUGUCACUGCCAUAUCCAGAUUUCAAUUCGCGAUCCGCUGAUUCCAUAAGCUCCAGACGUUGGGUAAUGCUGCAAAUUCGUGUACCUGCACGGAGGGGCAUUGUGUGUGAGAAUUGCCAGCUUCCUCCGCCACUCUCCGAGCGACAUCCACCAAGAGAGGGAGCUUCCCCUGCUUGCAGCCGCGGGCUAGCCUGUCCAUAACGCCAAGACACAGGGGAAGAGCGAU
Molecule: long non-coding RNA, 469 nt
Organism: Pseudophryne corroboree (corroboree frog)
Lineage: Eukaryota; Metazoa; Chordata; Amphibia; Anura; Myobatrachidae
Exons: 3
Source: RefSeq, a predicted model, not a curated record